Molecule: unclassified non-coding RNA, 646 nt
Filed under: Athalia rosae (coleseed sawfly)
Lineage: Eukaryota; Metazoa; Arthropoda; Insecta; Hymenoptera; Athaliidae
Description: misc RNA ENSAEAG00005008237.1
Source: RNAcentral
UCGACUCUCCGACUGUACGGAGAGAGAAUAUCGACAUGCGAGCAACUUGCGCACGAGGACAACAGACAGGUGGCAGCGACGCGGUUCACCAACCAAUCGUCGACGUUCAGGAUUGAGAAAUUCAUACUUUCACCUUUUUGCGACGGAAAAAGAGGGGGGAUUUUAUGUUAUAAAGCAACGCGCGAUUAACCACAUUACUAUUGUGGAAUUCGCUCUGAUUGAUUGUCAUCGGUACUACAGGGGGUGCUGAGCUUGCAGUUCUUCAGUCAUUAAAGGGCCGUGGGAAUUGAUAAAAAUGAAUGACAUCGAUUCAGCCAAUGGCACCCGCAUUCCUGUACUACGACAGAUACUCCAGCCAAUCGUUGUUUACUUAUAGAGCUGUCAAACAGCAGACCACUGUGUGGACCUUUAAAUUCUUAAAUCACGGAGACUUGCGGAGAAUUGAAAUGAAACGUUUAAAAUACGGUUGAAAACUGAAAAUAUUAUUGCCUUGUAUUAAAUGGAACUGGUAUUUCAAGCCCACCGGAAGUACUGGAGAUGAUUGGGCCUCGGGGAGUGUAACAAGCUCGGAGCAAGACGCAGUUCAAGGGACCGAUGUUCAUGGUUCAAGAGAUUGAUAGCGUAUCGAAGGCCACUAAAUGACAAA